GGAGAGCGGUGGAUGAGCACGCAGCCAGACGGGGGAGGAUCCCCGCCGGCAGCUCCUCCUGCCCCGCCCGCGGUCGGGCGUCACUUCCAGCGGCACCGAGGGUCUUUGGGACAGCCCAGGGCUGUGCCAUUUUGGCUGGCCCAGAGCCGUGCGCCAGCAUUUUGGAGAGUCCCCAGCGCUGCAGCUUCCGGUGGGGCACGACAGGUGAGGUUUGGGGUGACCCAGCUGCCGGCAAGGUCCCUCUUCAGGGCGUUUGGAUCUCCAGCCGGGUGUCCAGCCAGCGGGAAAGGUGUGGGUGUGCGUGUGCAGCUCCCUGGCGCUUCCUGGGCACGUGUCAGCUCCCGGGGGACUGAUCCGUGGGGUGAGAAAGAAAACAGGCCAGGGGCACUUGAUAGAUUGGGUCCUUUUGUGUCUGUAAAAUGCAGGUUUGGCAGUUGGUUCCAUAUUUAUAAAGAGGAUUUGAACAUUC
Long non-coding RNA from Neopelma chrysocephalum (saffron-crested tyrant-manakin), 469 nucleotides. RefSeq lists it as uncharacterized. Lineage: Eukaryota; Metazoa; Chordata; Aves; Passeriformes; Pipridae. The transcript is spliced from 2 exons. The record is from RefSeq and is a predicted model, not a curated record.